AUCGCUUCUCGGCCUUUUGGCUAAGAUCAAGUGUAGUAAGAUAUGAUAAUGCUAAUAAUGGUGCAUAUCUAGUAACAAACAGGACCUAAAAAUUAACACUUCUCUGUUGCUCUGCACUGUGUAGUGUCUGAUGAAAUCUAC
Molecule: small nuclear RNA, 141 nt
Filed under: Cervus elaphus hippelaphus
Lineage: Eukaryota; Metazoa; Chordata; Mammalia; Artiodactyla; Cervidae
Also listed under: 1 other name
Description: U2 spliceosomal RNA
Rfam family: U2 spliceosomal RNA
About the family: U2 is a small nuclear RNA (snRNA) component of the spliceosome (involved in pre-mRNA splicing). Complementary binding between U2 snRNA (in an area lying towards the 5' end but 3' to hairpin I) and the branchpoint sequence (BPS) of the intron results the bulging out of an unpaired adenosine, on the BPS, which initiates a nucleophilic attack at the intronic 5' splice site, thus starting the first of two transesterification reactions that mediate splicing.
Source: Rfam by way of RNAcentral